GGUGGGUGGUGGGGCGUCCCUCAGCCCGGAUUGCAAGAGGAUGCAGGCCAGGCCAAGGGACCCCACCGGUGCAUG
Molecule: microRNA precursor, 75 nt
Filed under: Myotis davidii
Lineage: Eukaryota; Metazoa; Chordata; Mammalia; Chiroptera; Vespertilionidae
Description: mir-9193 microRNA precursor family
Rfam family: mir-9193 microRNA precursor family
Source: Rfam by way of RNAcentral